CCUACGGGAGGCAGCAGUGAGGAAUAUUGGUCAAUGGGCGGGAGCCUGAACCAGCCAAGUCGCGUGAGGGAAGACGGUCCUAUGGAUUGUAAACCUCUUUAGGCGGGGAGCAAUGCCGGGCACGCGUGCCCGGAGGGAGAGUACCCGCAGAAUCAGCAUCGGCUAACUCCGUGCCAGCAGCCGCGGUAAUACGGGGGAUGCGAGCGUUAUGCGGAUUUAUUGGGUUUAAAGGGUGCGUAGGCGGAUUGUUAGGUCAGCGGUAAAAGGUCCGGGCUCAACCCGGGCCGGCCGUUGAAACUGGCGUUCUUGAGUGGGCGAGAAGUAUGCGGAAUGCGUGGUGUAGCGGUGAAAUGCAUAGAUAUCACGAAGAACUCCGAUUGCGAAGGCAGCAUACCGGCGCCCAACUGACGCUGAAGCACGAAAGCGUGGGUAUCGAACAGGAUUAGAUACCCUUGUAGUC
RNAcentral lists this ribosomal RNA (460 nucleotides) under uncultured bacterium. Its description in RNAcentral is "partial 16S ribosomal RNA". It matches the Rfam family "Bacterial small subunit ribosomal RNA", at positions 338 to 795 of the family's 1533-position model. The record is from RNAcentral.